Molecule: ribosomal RNA, 448 nt
Filed under: uncultured bacterium
Lineage: Bacteria
Description: SSU rRNA
Rfam family: Bacterial small subunit ribosomal RNA
Source: RNAcentral
AGAACGAACGCUGGCGGCAGGCCUCAAACAUGCAAGUCUAGGGGGUGUAGCAAUACAUCACCGGCGGACGGGUGCGUAACGCGUGGGAAUGUACCUAUUGGUUCGGAACAACUGAGGGAAACUUCAGCUAAUACCGGAUGAGCCCGAAAGGGGAAAGAUUUCUCGCCAAUAGAUCAGCCCGCGUCCGAUUAGCUAGUUGGUGGGGUUAAAGCCUACCAAGGCGACGAUCGGUAGCUGUUCUGAGAGGAAGAUCAGCCACACUGGGACUGAGACACGGCCCAGACUCCUACGGGAGGCAGCAGUUGGGAAUCUUGGACAAUGGGGGAAACCCUGAUCCAGCCAUGCCGCGUGAGUGAUGAAGGCCUUCGGGUUGUAAAGCUCUUUCGCUAGGGACGAUAAUGACGGUACCUAGACAAGAAGCCCCGGCUAACUUCGUGCCAGCAGCCGC